CAGCCGCCGCGGUAACACCGGCAGCUCUAGUGGUAGCUGUUUUAUUGGGCCUAAAGCGUUCGUAGCCGGUUUAAUAAGUCUCUGGUGAAAUCCUAUAGCUUAACUGUGGGAAUUGCUGGAGAUACUAUUAGGCUUGAGAUCGGGAGAGGUCAGAGGUACUCCUGGGGUAGGGGUGAAAUCCUGUAAUCCUAGGAGGACCACCUGUGGCGAAGGCGUCUGACUAGAACGAAUCUGACGGUGAGGAACGAAAGCUAGGGGCGCGAACCGGAUUAGAUACCCGGGUAGUCCUAGCCGUAAACUAUGCGGACUUGGUGUGAGGGUGGCUUUGAGCCGUCCUGGUGCCGAAGGGAAGCUGUUAAGUCCGCCGCCUGGGAAGUACGGUCGCAAGACUGAAACUUAAGGAAUUGGCGGGGGAGCACCACAACGCGUGGAGCCUGCCGGUCUAAUUGGAUUCAACGCCGGAGAUCUCACCAGCGGCGACAGCAGUAUGAUGACCAGGUUGAUGACUUUGUUUGACAAGCUGAGAAGAGGUGCAUGG
RNAcentral lists this ribosomal RNA (538 nucleotides) under uncultured archaeon. RNAcentral's name for it is "bacterial SSU rRNA". It matches the Rfam family "Archaeal small subunit ribosomal RNA", at positions 459 to 997 of the family's 1478-position model. The record is from RNAcentral.